Molecule: ribosomal RNA, 434 nt
Filed under: uncultured Lachnospiraceae bacterium
Lineage: Bacteria; Bacillati; Bacillota; Clostridia; Lachnospirales; Lachnospiraceae
Description: partial 16S ribosomal RNA
Rfam family: Bacterial small subunit ribosomal RNA
Source: RNAcentral
ACGGAAGGCAGCAGUGGGGAAUAUUGCACAAUGGGGGAAACCCUGAUGCAGCGACGCCGCGUGAGCGAUGAAGUAUUUCGGUAUGUAAAGCUCUAUCAGCAGGGAAGAUAAUGACGGUACCUGACUAAGAAGCCCCGGCUAACUACGUGCCAGCAGCCGCGGUAAUACGUAGGGGGCAAGCGUUAUCCGGAUUUACUGGGUGUAAAGGGAGCGCAGGCGGUUUUUUAAGUCUGAUGUGAAAGCCCGUGGCUCAACUGCGGGACUGCAUUGGAAACUGGAGAACUAGAGUGUCGGAGGGGCAAGUGGAAUUCCUAGUGUAGCGGUGAAAUGCGUAGAUAUUAGGAGGAACACCAGUGGCGAAGGCGGCUUACUGGACUGUAACUGACGUUGAGGCUCGAAAGCGUGGGGAGCAAACAGGAUUAGAUACCCUGGUA